This 23-nucleotide microRNA is filed under the name Gadus morhua (Atlantic cod). RNAcentral's name for it is "gmo-miR-11216-5p". The record is from miRBase by way of RNAcentral. Lineage: Eukaryota; Metazoa; Chordata; Actinopteri; Gadiformes; Gadidae.
AUGGCUGGUCAACCUGUGGUGCA